GAUGUAACGGGGCUCAAACUGGAUACCGAAGCUGCGGAUGUGCACUUAGUGCACGUGGUAGGGGAGCGUUGUGUAAGCCUGUGAAGGUGUGUUGAGAAGCAUGCUGGAGGUAUCACAAGUGCGAAUGCUGACGUGAGUAACGAUAAUGGGAGUGAAAAACUCCCACGCCGAAAGACCAAGGUUUCCUGCGCAACGCUAAUCGGCGCAGGGUGAGUCGGCCCCUAAGGCGAGACCGAAAGGUGUAGUCGAUGGGAAACGGAUUAAUAUUUCCGUACCUUGGAUAGCUGCGAUGGAGAGACGGAGAAGGCUAGGUGAGCCGGGCGACGGUUGUCCCGGUUUAAGCGAGUAGGGAGUGGACUUAGGCAAAUCCGGGUCCACAAUCUCGAGACGCGACGACGACCGCUCUUAGAGCGGGAAGUCAUUGAUGCCAUGCUUCCAGGAAAAUCUUCUAAGCUUCAGGCUAUUCGAGACCGUACCCCAAACCGACACAGGUGGUCAGGUAGAGAAUACCAAGGCGCUUGAGAGAACUCGGGUAAAGGAACUAGGCAAAAUGGUGCCGU
This 560-nucleotide ribosomal RNA is filed under the name Alexandrium margalefii. RNAcentral's name for it is "partial Bacterial large subunit ribosomal RNA". It matches the Rfam family "Bacterial large subunit ribosomal RNA", at positions 1169 to 1731 of the family's 2925-position model. Lineage: Eukaryota; Dinophyceae; Gonyaulacales; Pyrocystaceae. The record is from RNAcentral.